GACGAACGCUGGCGGCGUGCUUAACACAUGCAAGUCGAACGAAGUGGCGAACGGGUGAGUAACGCGUAAUCAACCUGCCCUUCAGAGGGGGACAACAGUUGGAAACGACUGCUAAUACCGCAUACUGAAGGAGGGGAUUGCGUCUGAUUAGCUAGUUGGGGGGGUAACGGCCCACCAAGGCGAUGAUCAGUAGCCGGGCUGGAGGGAAGGACGACCACAUUGGGAAUGGGACACGGCCCAAACUCCUUCGGGAGGCAGCAAGGGGGGAUCUUCGGCAAUGGACGGAAGUCUGGCGGAGCAACGCCGGGUGGGUGAUAGCGGCCUUCGGGUUGUAAAGGUAUGUUAAUCGGGGAGCGGUACCGGAAGAGAAAGCCACGGCUAACUACGUGCCAGCAGCCGCGGUAAUUC
This 408-nucleotide ribosomal RNA is filed under the name uncultured bacterium. RNAcentral describes it as "partial 16S ribosomal RNA". It matches the Rfam family "Bacterial small subunit ribosomal RNA", at positions 28 to 526 of the family's 1533-position model. The record is from RNAcentral.